Non-coding RNA from Pseudomonas fluorescens, 152 nucleotides. The record is from Rfam. Lineage: Bacteria; Pseudomonadati; Pseudomonadota; Gammaproteobacteria; Pseudomonadales; Pseudomonadaceae.
UAUUUUCAACCAUGUACCGCUGACGUUGUCAGCAACAUGCCCUAGUAGUCACGAUCUGUGAGACUACGACACGAAAAUUCGUGUUGAUCAGACCCAAGACCGCCCAGCUUCCGGUAGUGCGGUUGAUCAGUCAAUAAUUGACUGAUGGAAGC